This 111-nucleotide ribosomal RNA is filed under the name Mixta theicola. The record is from RNAcentral. Lineage: Bacteria; Pseudomonadati; Pseudomonadota; Gammaproteobacteria; Enterobacterales; Erwiniaceae.
UGGCGGCGAGAGCGCGGUGGUCCCACCUGACCCCAUGCCGAACUCAGAAGUGAAACGCCGCAGCGCCGAUGGUAGUGUGGGGCUUCCCCAUGCGAGAGUAGGGAACUGCCA